Molecule: long non-coding RNA, 1371 nt
Organism: Tympanuchus pallidicinctus (lesser prairie-chicken)
Lineage: Eukaryota; Metazoa; Chordata; Aves; Galliformes; Phasianidae
Exons: 3
Source: RefSeq, a predicted model, not a curated record
GGGCUAUUCAGGAGAGAGGAUACCCUUCCCACUGACAUCUGUGAAUGACUCCAUGUGUGGACAGGGAAGCUCACUGCUGUGCAGAGGACCCACACCCCACAACAAAGCAGGUCAGAGAAAUUAACGCUGAGAACACUCUCUCUUAGUUGGUUGUUGGAGCAAGAAAAAAACACUUUUUCCUUGAAAUGGAUGAGCAAGGACUGUGGAGGUGCUAACUUUUUGCCAUUUCUGUCUUGGGAAACACGGAAUGAUUCCCAGACUGAUCCACAGUGUUCACAGAUGACAGGGGCUCAGGAGAGGUCGGAGGGAAUGACUCUUGGUCCAAUCUCACUCUCCACAGGGGCUAAGGAAAAAAGAGAGAGAGUGGAUGAACUCCAGGAAUAUGCGAUCGCAGGAAUUUUUGUCUUCUUCUGAAAAGGGGGCAUGUUUAUUUUGUAGCUCUGGUAAGAAAAAUAACCUGCCACUGAGAAAAAAAGCACAUCCAUUUAAGGCAAGAAUGAGCUUCAACUCGGUGACCUAGAAAUCAAGGCAGAAAGUAAAAGCUAAUAAAUAAAUAAAUAAGUAAAUAAAAUAAUCAGGGAUGUUGCACAAAAUCAAGGGGUGCCCUCUGAAGAGGUGUAAUCAAGGCUCUGAGCCAUCAGUUAUAAUGGUUUUGAUUAAAGAAAGCUGUGCAGAAGUAAUCUACUUUAUUUUUAAAUGGCCUGAUUUUCCCUCACUACUCUCUUGGAGACGGAACCUAGAACAACUUGAAGGAGGACAUAAAAUGUUCAUUGAAAAUAGGCAGGUGAUAAGGUAUGCGUUUAAUAAAAAAACUCACAUCUUUUAAAGUUACUUUUGGGUUUCGAUGGCAUGCAUUAAAAUUGGCUGAAAAAAGCAAUGCCUUAGUAAAUAAAAACAUGAAAGACUUCCAAAUCCUGGCUGAUCAAGCCACGCGGUUCCUUUCUGCAAACUUGAUGCCCAUUCACAAUGUUGAGCUUCAUCACUUAUUUCCAAUGUAGCGGAAAUCCUAAAGUCUGAAAUUCUUCGGUUCCUGUAUAGGGUCAGACUUGUUGUCUUUGCUUGAUAAAUACUGACAAAUAGUAGAAAAGAAGCUCAGAAGAAUCACAGCUAGGGUGGGAGGGGAGGGAGGUUUACAUUUUCUUCCUCAAGAAGGUCAGAUGUUUAUUCAAGCCUAUCCAAGCCUUCUGAACAGAUUUUUGUGCUGGAAAUCUCAUGAGAGCAGCAUUUCCUGGAGAGUGGAAGGAAUAUCUGUCUUCGGAACAGCCAUCUGCAAAGUGUCAUGCUGGUUUUGAGUCUGACAGUGCAAAAGGCUUACUGAAAUACCAGAUGCAGAAAUGUAGCCUAUUUCUUAAAAGGUUGUUGGAGUAAAGU